AUGACAAGGGAACCCCCACUACUGGUCCCAAGUGGGUGGCAGCAGGGUCUGCCUCCCUCCCGUCCUGCUCGGAAAGCCGCGCCUUGUUGGGGUCAGCAAAGGCCUUACUCAGCCAGGGCAGCCCGUGGCUCCAGAGUUUUUAACCCAGAUUUGGCACCUGUGACUGUCAUCAAAGGCACUCUCAGCUCCUUUUCAGUUUUCUGGAACCGGCUCACCAGAAAACAGCACGGCGAGGGGGUGGGGCAUGGGGAACCUGCGGCUGUGUUGGUUCUGCAUGAGUCUGCCCUGCCUUUUUGUUCAUUGGCUUUGAGCAGCUCCCAUUCACCUGUCGACGUCAUAGACCACGGGCACAGGAGAUGCAGCUCUCACCAAAACAGACCCAGUCAGCUCUCCUGGUGGAGUUUCCUCCUGCCACGGGGGUGCAGAUCCAAGGGAGCUCACAGACAUGCAAAGAAGGAGAUGCAGAGAGGUGGGCAGAAUGGAGAAGAUGAAGGAGAGAAACAGAAAAUUUGUUUGAAACUGGAUCUAAAAUGUCUCUAAGCACGUGGAAGUCAGUCAUGUAAAUGCCUCCUCCCCGUAAACUUCAUCUUUCUGACAAGGUUUGUGUUAUAAUUAAAGCCUGUCUGAGUAUUCACCCGACUGUUGCAUUGUAGGGUUUUCCUUAAGAGACAGGGUUUUUUAACAGCCAGAUAAAUGCUCCACGUGGCCCAGCCCAGUAGCACAGCGACACCCUGUGGCCAUGUCUAGUCAUGACCCCCAUCGCGGGGCCACACAGGGCUUGACUCCAGGAGGGCCUGCUCCAGAGAGAUUUGGGGGUGAAUAUGGGCGUUCGCUUGCCAUUUGAAUGCUGGGAGAUGUGCCCAAAGAGGGCCAGUCUUGAGCCAGAGGAGCCAGCCCCAUGCAGACUUAAAUGAGAUACAACAGGUCCAAGGGCCGAGCCACAAAGCCCAAGGCAAUUCUGAAUCUCUCGUCAGAUGCUUCUCCCAGCCUCUCACUGAGACAGGUGACAAACAAAUCCAUUUAGGGGCAGUGGAGUCAACUUUUUCACCUCUGAGGGGAAAGAUGGCUUUGGUCCACUGAUGUGGGGCUCUCCAGACCCAUGUUUAAAUGACCAAGUAAUAAAAUAAACAUUUCAGUAGAAUAAAACCA
This 1149-nucleotide long non-coding RNA is filed under the name Oryctolagus cuniculus (rabbit). RNAcentral's name for it is "lncRNA (ENSOCUG00000036215.1)". Lineage: Eukaryota; Metazoa; Chordata; Mammalia; Lagomorpha; Leporidae. The record is from RNAcentral.